RNAcentral lists this ribosomal RNA (482 nucleotides) under uncultured bacterium. RNAcentral describes it as "bacterial SSU rRNA". It matches the Rfam family "Bacterial small subunit ribosomal RNA", at positions 29 to 497 of the family's 1533-position model. The record is from RNAcentral.
AUUGAACGCUGGCGGCAUGCUUUACACAUGCAAGUCGAACGGUAGACCCUUUCGGGGGUUGAGAGUGGCGAACGGGUGAGUAAUGCAUCGGAACAUACCCAGUCGUGGGGGAUAACGUAGCGAAAGUUACGCUAAUACCGCAUGAGUCCUGAGGGAGAAAGCGGGGGAUCGCAAGACCUCGCGCGAUUGGAGUGGCCGAUGUCAGAUUAGCUAGUUGGUGGGGUAAAGGCCUACCAAGGCGACGAUCUGUAGCGGGUCUGAGAGGAUGAUCCGCCACACUGGGACUGAGACACGGCCCAGACUCCUACGGGAGGCAGCAGUGGGGAAUUUUGGACAAUGGGCGAAAGCCUGAUCCAGCCAUGCCGCGUGCGGGGAAGAAGGGCCUCGGUUGUAAGUACUCUUUCGGUCCGGGAGGAAAGUACGACGACAGGUUAAGUACCUACGUGUGGAGUGACGGUACCGGAACGUAAGAAGACACCGGC